GGCCUUAUCGUCUAACGGUUAGGACAUCGCCUUCUCAAGGCGGUAAUCGGGGUCCGAUUCCCCGUAAGGUCA
Molecule: transfer RNA, 72 nt
Filed under: Candidatus Nomurabacteria bacterium
Lineage: Bacteria; Candidatus Nomuraibacteriota
Rfam family: tRNA
About the family: Transfer RNA (tRNA) molecules are approximately 80 nucleotides in length. Their secondary structure includes four short double-helical elements and three loops (D, anti-codon, and T loops).
Source: Rfam by way of RNAcentral